GGUAAGGUGGCUCAGUGGUAGAAUGCUUGCCUUGCAUGCAUGAGGCUCUGAGUUCAAUUCCUCAGCACCA
This 70-nucleotide transfer RNA is filed under the name Dipodomys ordii (Ord's kangaroo rat). It matches the Rfam family "tRNA". Rfam says of the family: Transfer RNA (tRNA) molecules are approximately 80 nucleotides in length. Their secondary structure includes four short double-helical elements and three loops (D, anti-codon, and T loops). Further hydrogen bonds mediate the characteristic L-shaped molecular structure. tRNAs have two regions of fundamental functional importance: the anti-codon, which is responsible for specific mRNA codon recognition, and the 3' end, to which the tRNAs corresponding amino acid is attached (by aminoacyl-tRNA synthetases). tRNAs cope with the degeneracy of the genetic code in two manners: having more than one tRNA (with a specific anti-codon) for a particular amino acid; and 'wobble' base-pairing, i.e. permitting non-standard base-pairing at the 3rd anti-codon position. The record is from Rfam by way of RNAcentral. Lineage: Eukaryota; Metazoa; Chordata; Mammalia; Rodentia; Heteromyidae.